Molecule: long non-coding RNA, 395 nt
Organism: Oncorhynchus tshawytscha (Chinook salmon)
Lineage: Eukaryota; Metazoa; Chordata; Actinopteri; Salmoniformes; Salmonidae
Source: Ensembl
GACGGGGGGGUAGGAUGGAGCGGAUUGGAACAGGGCCUCGGGGGGGAUGAAGGAAGGAUGGAGCGGAUUGGAACAGGGCCUCGGGGGAGUGAAGGAAGGAUGGAGCGGAUUGGAACAGGGCCUCGGGGAGGGGGGAUGGAUGGACGGUAGGAUGGAGAUGGAUUGGAACAGGGCCUCGGGGAGAGUGACGGUAGGAUGGAGCGGAUUGGAACAGGGCCUCGGGGUGAGUGACGGUAGGAUGGAGCGGAUUGGAACAGGGCCUCGGGGGGAGUGACGGUAGGAUGGAGCGGAUUGGAACAGGGCCUUACACUGAGUUUCCUCUUGGGGGCUUUCUGUUUGGCGGUCGCUCCCCUACGAUGAGUCACAAACUUCCCUGGAGCCAAAACUGGAGACGG